AUUCUGGUUGAUCCUGCCAGUAGUUAUAUGCUUGUCUCAAAGAUUAAGCCAUGCAUGUCUAAGUACACACGAAUUAAAAGUGAAACCGCAAAAGGCUCAUUAUAUCAGUUAUGGUUCCUUAGAUCGUUAACAGUUACUUGGAUAACUGUGGUAAUUCUAGAGCUAAUACAUGCAAUUAAAACAUGAACCUUAUGGGACAUGUGCUUUUAUUAGGCUAAAACCAAGCGAUCGCAAGAUCGUUAUAUUGGUUGAACUCUAGAUAACAUGCAGAUCGUAUGGUCUUGUACCGACGACAGAUCUUUCAAAUGUCUGCCCUAUCAACUUUUGAUGGUAGUAUCUAGGACUACCAUGGUUGCAACGGGUAACGGGGAAUCAGGGUUCGAUUCCGGAGAGGGAGCCUGAGAAACGGCUAC
This 413-nucleotide non-coding RNA is filed under the name Lasius niger. RNAcentral's name for it is "Eukaryotic small subunit ribosomal RNA". It matches the Rfam family "Eukaryotic small subunit ribosomal RNA", at positions 1 to 410 of the family's 1831-position model. The record is from Rfam by way of RNAcentral. Lineage: Eukaryota; Metazoa; Arthropoda; Insecta; Hymenoptera; Formicidae.